This is an unclassified non-coding RNA of Pongo abelii (Sumatran orangutan), 148 nucleotides long. It matches the Rfam family "Metazoan signal recognition particle RNA". Rfam says of the family: The signal recognition particle (SRP) is a universally conserved ribonucleoprotein. It is involved in the co-translational targeting of proteins to membranes. The record is from Ensembl. NCBI's taxonomy places the organism in Eukaryota, Metazoa, Chordata, Mammalia, Primates, Hominidae.
GCCGGGCAUGGGGGUGCAUGCCUGUAGUCCCAGCAACUUGGGAGGCUGAGGUGGGAGAAUCACCUGAGCCCAGGAAGUUGAGGCUGCAGUGAGCUAUGAUCACACCACUGCACUCCAGCCUGGGCAAAAGUGCGAGACCCUGUCUCAA